Molecule: ribosomal RNA, 409 nt
Filed under: uncultured bacterium
Lineage: Bacteria
Description: bacterial SSU rRNA
Rfam family: Bacterial small subunit ribosomal RNA
Source: RNAcentral
GACGAACGCUGGCGGCGUGCCUAACACAUGCAAGUCGAACGGAACUUUUUUAAAAGAUUUCUUCGGAAUGAAUUUGAUUAAGUUUAGUGGCGGACGGGUGAGUAACGCGUGAGUAACCUGCCUCUAAGAGGGGAAUAACAUUCUGAAAAGAAUGCUAAUACCGCAUAACAUAUAUUUAUCGCAUGGUAGAUAUAUCAAAGAUUUAUCGCUUAGAGAUGGACUCGCGUCCGAUUAGUUAGUUGGUGAGGUAACGGCUCACCAAGACCGCGAUCGGUAGCCGGACUGAGAGGUUGAACGGCCACAUUGGGACUGAGACACGGCCCAGACUCCUACGGGAGGCAGCAGUGGGGGAUAUUGCGCAAUGGGGAAACCCUGACGCAGCAACGCCGCGUGAAGGAUGAAGGUCUUC